Molecule: long non-coding RNA, 9524 nt
Organism: Pseudopipra pipra
Lineage: Eukaryota; Metazoa; Chordata; Aves; Passeriformes; Pipridae
Exons: 6
Source: RefSeq, a predicted model, not a curated record
ACGAGUAAGUGCCAGCAACCAAACUUUCUGAGCUGUUCUUUCAAAAUCCUCCCUCUGUCCUUUCAUUCUUCUUAUAUUCAAAAGAAGUGACACAAUUACCAUGACAUUGAACUGUAAACAAAAAACGGCUAAACGCCUCUUCGGUUCUCUGGAUAUGGCAGACCAGCGAAGUAUGAACCUUCAGAGCUCAGGUAUGUCUGAGGACUGCACAGCCAGGGUGACCUUUGGUCACUUGUUACCCCUUCAGGUGAGAGUUCCCUUCUCUGGGUAAAUGCAGCCAUGCUUUGCAGUUUUUACUCCCUCACCCCUUUCUCCACCACUGUUUCUUUGCUGCUGUCUCUGUGGAUUUCCAGAGCUGUCAGCAGCAAUUUUGGCUGGUCUGUGAGGAAAGCACCACUGUACAGCUGGCAUAAGGUGAAGCAAGCUGUGAGAAAAUGUUCUUCUCAACAGCUUUGCUGAAAAAUUCCCCUUACUGUUCUAAACACAGGAAGAAGAGGUUGGGAUGCCAAAUAGAGGACACAAUCACAUACCUGUGUGCUGUUUUUCUCGCUCAUCUUUGAUCACUGGUAUUCACAGAAUCAUAGGAUAAUUUGGGUUGACAGGGACCUUUAAAAGUCGCGUAGUCCAACUGUCCUGCAAUGAGCAGGGAUAUCUUCAACUCUUAUCAAGAUGUUCUUUUCUAUUCUGUCUGUAGGCUUUAUAAAGCCAGUGAAGAGGCAAGGAAGUUCCUCAGUUGCAGACUCUGAUUCUUCCCCUCCUUGUCUGUUCAGCAGCAGCUGCUCAGAGAACUGGGUCCUCAGUGACCCUAGCAAAGUGUGUGCUCAUCCCUCCACAGUAUAGGACACUCAGCUACUCCUUCCUCUCUGCCUUUACUAUGUUGCAGUUGCUCAGCUCAAGCUGCCUUUCCCCUGUGAAAUCUUUGUUCUCUCCACAGUGCUCAGGAAAGGUAGUACUGCAAUUUCAUGUUGGUUUCUUUCAGCUUCUUGCACUCAAGUGUUAGAAGCUCUUGGUGAUGCUGCUGUGACCAACAGCUGGAGGAGACUAUGGGAUGGGCGUCGACUGUGUGAUUUGUAUCUUGAUGCAGGGAAAGCUUUGCUUGCGUCUUGUGCUUUGUUAGCCACCAGGCAGACCAACCAGAAGACACAAAUACGUCUGAAACUCAUGUUCAUUAGUUCUGCUGUUCACAAAUACUUGUCUGAAGGCAUAAAAGCACAUUUCCUUCCUUCUUUCUUCCAACCCAUAGGAUUUUACCUUUUCACUGUGCUAGCCCUAAGCCUCAGCCUGUGCAAUAUUUUGUUAGAGACUAUAACUGUUUUAGAGGCUGGAAGUCAAAAGCUCUGGAGAUUUGACCUCAAACAAUGUUUUCUUAGGAAAAGGGAGACUCUCAAAGGGAUUGAAUGAACACCAGAAUUAGAUAUUAGAAGUUCAAUUUAUUGAAUUAUUUGAUAUAUCUAUCUAUAUAAAAAUAUUUCUCUUAGCUUCCAUAAGUUUUCUUUUCUCUCAAGGCCUAUAAAAUAGAAUUUGGAGUAUUAAAACACCUCUUUCUUUAUAAAUAAAAAAGAAAGAUGCAAAAUGAGUAGGAGAGUGUCAAAGAACAUAGAAUUUAUUUAAUAGAAAAUUUGCUAGAUAAAGUUUGUAGUGAAAUAUAACCAGAUUGCAAGCAAGGAAAGUACCAAGACCUAGCUCUGACAUGCAGGAGUGCCUAUUAGGUACAGGCUGAUGAUCUCUGGCCCUCAGACAUUUUUUACCUCUCUUACAGAUUGUUAGACCUACCCCUUCUCUCCUUUCAGCACUGCUCUGGGCUCUUCAGACACAUGCAGUGACUUUAGUUUCAGUUCACUGGCUUGAAGGCAUUCUUAUUCUUGUCUGCAUGUGUGGCCAGAAAGACCGUAUUCUACUACGUCUCCACCUCUUGAGAAAACAGGAGAAAAAAAAAAGAGAAAAAAUAAUAUAUAUAUAUACAUGCAAAAAGGGCAUAAAAGUUGCAAAGUCCAGCAUUCAAAAGUUAGGCAGUGUCAGACUGAAUUUCUCAAGGCAUCCUUAAUUUUGCCUCCUGGUGAAUAUGCAUUAUGAUACAGUUUUAAUUACAAGGUUGCAUACUAUUACUUUUCCCCAGGACACCUGCUUCAGCAGGGCACAGGAUGGAUGGUGCUCACUUAAUGAGCAGCUAUUCAAUAUGUUCUUUUAUCCUCAUUGCUUGGCGUUUGGCCUCAGGCCUUAUUUACUGCACACUGCUCAGUCUUCGUUCUAAAGACAGAAUUAUUCAUUUCCUACGUGACUGUUACUGCAGUUCUCACUCUAUCUGAACACGUUAUAAACUUUAAUGACUCUUUACGAUACCCUAGGAAGAGCAGGGUCCACUGACCCCCAUUUAUAGAUACAGACCUGCAACAUUUCCACUUAUCCUGGUUUUAACAUUCAUUUGAAUUGCUUUCUCUUCCGUCCUUUCAAGAGAAGAACUUCUUUUACAUGAUAUUUUCCACACCUUAUUUGCUGAAUGUUGUGGUUGAAAAUUUUAAAAAGCAGUGCAAUCUGGGGUAGCAGUCCCACAUGGAAAAUUUCGGUGCCUUUGACAGAACAAAAAGCUUUGUGAAAACACAGUGCUGUCUAUACAAGGGAAAAGAGUGACAGGUGUCACUCCCAGUUACGGAAGCUGUGACUAGCCCUUCCUGUAGUAUUUAUAUAGGUGAGAAUUUAUGUGCAUGUGCACAAGACAUAUGUGACGUGCAGACCUCUAUGUACAGGGAUACACAUAGAAACUGCUAUGCACAGAGGAACAAAAAGGGGUAUAUAUUAAAAAAAGGCUCAAGCCUUCCCCAAGUGGCCCUUCCCUGGGCUUCAGUGCACCUUUGUACAGUUCCUCCAGCUGAGGAGCUGGUCAGUGACUUCAUGGCUUCUUCCUUAAUGAUAUAAUGAACAGAUUUACUUACAAAAUCUAAUCCUUAGAAAGUAAAUUUAUUUUAAACCCUGGACUCUGCAUAUCUGUUUCUAGUAAUGUGAGCUGUUUUAACCUACCUUAUUCUAAAAAGAAAAGGAAGGUGGGCAAAAAAAUUGGGUCUUUCCUUGCUUGACCUCUUCUGUUUACCACAUAAAAGCAGUGAGUUAAAAUAAGGACAUGGAGAUAUUCUAUCCUGGGCCUGUGAAAUCCAAUAUCAUUUGGUGAAUUCUUUGGCUUAAGAAGGUGGCAGUUUGCAGGUGCUUCAGAGAGAUUAACCUCUCUAGGAAUCACUGAGACAAAAUGGUAGAAACAGUGGCAGAAAGAAUCUCUUUGCUGUGCAGCUGGAAGAUGAUUAAAACAUUGAUAAAUUACUCAAGCAUUGAUUAUUUUUUUUACUGUAUAUAUAAAAAUACCAACCAAUUGGGUAAGUUUUUGUUUGGUUGGGUUUUUUUUAUGGAAUAAAUCGCCAGCAGCCAAAUUGAGAUUAGCUGGAGAAUUACUGGCAUACAAGAUGGGAACCACUGAACCUCCAGAACCAGGUGACCUUUUUUAGUAAGCAGGGAGACAAGCAUAAGGAUCAAAGCCAACCUCUCUUUGCCAUUUUUCUUUUCUCUUUUUUUUUACCCUUUUGGCUGCUCAGGGUCUUCAAGCACUUGAAUACCCUGAUCCAUCUUCUCUGCAUUCAUCAUGACAGUCUGUGUAUCUAUGCCUUUAAUUGAUGAUUUUCUGAAUUCAUUCCCUGUAUAAGAAUAUAUUCUUUUUCUAGACUAUAUGAAUCUACCUAAUUGGAGAGUAGGAUCCACUAGGUUAUGGAAUAGUGACUGUAGAUAAACUUUUUCACUGUUCAUGAAUGCCUAUAUCUGAUGCUGCAGUUUUGAGUAUUUCAGAGUUCAGAUGUGAAUUUUUACAUUCUCAGGUUUAGCAUUAGGACAUAUGAGUUUGAAAAGCAAGAUUUGUUUGAAAGUCAUAAAAGAAAUCCUGGAGAGAGGACCCCAAGCUAGCCCUACCCUCUGUGGCCUUUGUGCAAAGAUUUUGAAGUUGUUUUGGUAUUCUAGUAGAGGACCUCUUCACUUCUUUUUUGGCACUGAGGAUACAAUGACAUUUUUUUAGCUUUGGUAACUAAUGAACGCUGUCUUCUGAAAUGCCAUAAGAUCAAGAAGAGAACUUUGGAUGAACUAGAUUAAUCAGGACUCUAUUGUUUUUCCCUUUUCCAGUUCAUGGCAUAUUCUCACGUAGUUCACAGUUUACGGUGCAAGAUAAAUGGGCAAAACACAAUUGUGGGAGAUGGAAUUUUCUUUCUUCUCUUGACUCAUAUUUUUUGUGUGUAUAUUCUCCUUCUAUCUUUCCUACUGCUAGGCUUAAAGAGAAAUUGAAUCUUUCCUGAGGGACUGAUGGGAAAAGGAAAAUAUGUUUUCCUUAAAAAAAUGUGUAUUCAAAGACUUUAUUAAAAAAUUUUUAGACUGUAAUUAAAAUUAAAAAUUAACUGUAGAACAAAUGCAAUUUGAUUUUCAAGUGGUUCAGACUUCCAAUUGGAACGAGAAUUUCAGAUGUGCUCCUUCUCCUUCUGUUGUGUCCCAUUCUGUACAAAUCUUUCCUUGACCAUCUGCUGAACAACUUUUCAGAAUGGCGGCCCAUAUAUUUUUGGCUUCUAUUUUUCCUGUUUUCCUUUCUUUUCUCCUUGGAAUCUUAACAGACUGUUUUUAUGUUUUGGCGUAUAUAACUUGCUUAGAAAAUAACAUCCAUUUGGAUAGUAAUAUAAUUUGCACUGAUUCUGCACUGUUAAAUAUAAUAUAGAGUAUUGGUACGGUGGAGAAAAAGGAUUUUGCUCCAUAGGACAUCCUGGCAUUUCACUGUUCUUCACCAUCAAAGAUGUUGACACCCAAUUACUUCAGCUAUCAAAAAAAUAGCAAAAUAGAGGAAUAGUGGUUGACAGGAACAUGAAAAUUAAAAAGCAACUACCAUUGCACAGGUAUUUCGCUGUUCUGCUCUUCCUGCAAUACACCUUAGCAAGUCAGUGCCUCCAAAAGCCAUAGGUCAUUCUUAACAUUGAUCACCUUCCCCUCCUUCUAUCACUAUAUAAAUCUGUAAGAUAUUUGUCCCAAACUUUGCUGAAAUGGAGUUUCAGCAGACUCCAUUUGCAAUGAGAUCAGUCUAUUAUCUGUAAUUAAUACAAUUCUGAUACCAGAUAUGACUGGUUUUUAUUUGAAAGGGGAAUACGUUAAUUUGACAUAAUACUUUUUUUUUCACCUAAGGAAUGAGAAAAAGACAGACUCUGAGAAGGAAGGGGAAAGGUUCCUGUCCUUGUACCUGCCUUCUGGGGGUGCUCCAAACAACAAGAUUCAAAAAAUACUCCUAAAAAUCUAGCAAGCUCAACAUCAAUUAUCUUUCUGUGGUGUUUUCCCCAUCCUGGUGACUGGUGGCACAUGAUAUGGUGCCAGAAAGUCAUCAGUCUGGCAGCUGGGGUGUUUUUGUUUUGUUUUGCUUUGCUUUGCUUUGCUUUUCUAACACUGAUCCAGUAAAUAUUUGCUGGGCCAUUUGCACCAUCUGCCAUGCAAAUGUUAGUCCAAGGAAGAAUGGCAGACAGGGUGGAAUAUCUAUGUUAAAGCUCUAUUUAAAGUGGAACUGCUGGUGCCAGUGGCAGGAAACUAGGAGAACAAAGAAGCUGAGCAAGAAAUAUAGAGAAGAAAAGGACAUAGCCUCUGCAGCUUUUCUAGAGAAUCAUCUGUUUCCCAGCACCUCUGGUGAAAAUGCAGUGAACAUGGAAAAUGAAAGACCUACAUGUGAGUGGCUUGGCACUAGGAGAGGACAAACUAGUUUGGCUCAAUUAGAAAACAGAGACUUUGCCGAUAUCUGCAACUAAAGAUGCAAAAUUAUGUGCCACAAAACCACUUUGGUUUCUGUCUGCUACUCCUGUGUGCUCAGGGACUGCUGUCUUAGUCAGAAGCUAGAGGAGGCGUGAUUUAGAGCCAAGUAGGGAUCUUGGGAUAUGAGAGUGUUGUUAUAAGCAAAACACUGUGAGAUGCACUGACAUAAUGAAAUGCCCAUGUUGAUUCAGGCCAAAGAGGAGAACUUGUGAUAUUCUUAUGAGACUCACCUGGGUUUUGAUUGCCUCCUCAUUUAUGUGAGUCAGCUCCUCAUUUAAUAGAAGAAAAACUCAUCAUGUUUCUGAAUACUUUUUUUCUUAAUGGAACCAACUUCCUUUCGAGUUUCUUUGUUACCCACUGGAUCAUUUCAGAUGAACCCCUUCUCAAAAAAAAAAAAAAAAACCAAAAAACAACAGACAAGAAAAUACACCUUCCUUUUGUUUGACCUGCAAUACAGAGAAAGGACCAUGAUAUUGAUUUUCAGAUGACAUGUACCUCACUACAGGUCAAGUCAGCAUACAGUAAAACUCAUGGGUCUGUGUAACACAAAAGAAAACAAUAAAAGGCGAUUUCCUGGGCAUCAGCCACUCAGUGUUGCUGCAGCCAUACAAAACCCUCUGUACUCCUGUUGCUUGACCUUCAAUAACUGUAACAAUGACGGGUGGUUAUGAAAGCACCAAAUUUCACUUUCUUCCAUUGUAGCAUUCUCCACUGACAUUUGGGAUGGGAAUGAUUGCUGUCAGAGAAAAUGAGGUGUCAGGAUGCUUGGAUAAAGCAUCACAGAUAUCCACGGUGUUAGGAAAUCACAUAAACAAACCAACGAUGUCAUGACCAGUGUUAAUGGAAGAAUGAUUAUUUCAACAGGGGGAAAUAACAACAACCCUCAAAACAGAAAGUGUCUUUCUUCUUUGGCAAAGUGAUGAAAUGAUUACCGGUGUUGUUCCUAUUAGUGAUUCCUGAUUAUGUACUUCCAGCUAAUAUCUGACACAGUUUUUCAGCCAGUUACUAUUUCUGGUCAUUUUUCUUUACUGUGACAAAACCAAAAGGCUACCUCUCUGCAAGAAAAUGCAAAAUACCAACCUUCUACCUCAGCUCAAGUCAUGAUAACAGUUCACAGACAAAGGGACACCAAUGUGUCUUUUGAUGUUUCAAUGAAAAUUAAACUCAAAACCAACUAAUCCUUCCUAUUGGAAGAAAAUAUAGCAAAUUAGAGUUUGGAAAGCAAUGGCUGAAUGAACCUAUUUACUUUUAUUGUAUAAACAAUAAAAUUGUUUUUCUUGUGCUUGAUUGCAUUGGGUUGAUAAUUCUCCUUUUGUGUGGACAUGACAGUGAGAGAGAGAUUUAAUUUUUUUCUUUCCCAUCCAUUGUCUCAGUGAAUUCACUGACACUCUCAAAUCUGCAAAAUGCAAAUUAUACUGUCAAAAGGGAAAUCAGGAUGGCAUUUCUUGCUUUCAGACUUCCUUUGCUGCUGUGUAGGUUAUGCUUGCCUGUGUUGGAAUGGGGAGUGUUGUGUGCUGUAUCAGUGAUGGAGUGGCGGUUGUGGAUUUGCAAAAAGACAGUGAUGUGAAUGAAUCUGAAACUGCCAUCUUUUUAUUGUUUAGUAAGACAAAAGGUAAUUUUUAACUCAGUCCCAUGUGUCAUUCACAUGUGUUCAGCAUUCUCUGCAGCACCAUCCAUCUGCCACCUUCACCCAGCGUGAGGACUGGGAAGCCCACGUCUGCAAAUGGAAAGCAUACAUUAAAAAUAAUGAACACUUGUUUUGUAGUAUACCAGAGCAAUUUUUUCAGUGAUGUAUAUGUGCAGGCUUAUUUAUUUCAAUUGAAUUUUGUUUCUGUUGUUUAACCUCCAUAAUAGAUAUAGCAUAAUAGAUAUAGAUAAAUUAUAGAUAUAUUGAUUAAUCACAGACAUUGAAGAAGGUCUGUGCCCACCUGUUUCUAAUUUUAAUUUCAAAUGACACUUUUUACCAUGUUGAUUUAGUGGGCUCAUACCGUACUCAGUUCUUUGUGUCUUGCAACAUGAGGGAUGCAUCUUCCUUACCUUUCAAGCUGAUUGACAGUCACUUCCAAGCAGGAUAUAUCAGCUGCAGCAAACUCACAUUCUUGUCUUCCUUGUUUGCCCUGAGUGAGAUGAAACUCUAUAAAGGGAGUUUAUUCUCUGAGAUCACUAGUGCUGAGACUUGGGGCACUGUUCUCUUAUGUGUCAGAGGACUGACAACCCUGACAUUUUCAGAGACAAAAUUUCACACGCUUUUCUGAAAGGAAUUUAAAAUUUCAGAAAGAUGAAACAUAUUUCUGAAAAUACCUUUAUAAUGACCAGAUCUAGCAAAAUUACUUUCAUAAAAGUGAUAUUGCUAUGUUACAAUUUGCAGUGUCACUGCUCCUGGCACACUAUAGAGGUAUGCAGUGCUUUAAAGGGCCUGCAUAGUUUAGUGGCUCACAUAUAUUUUAUUUCUCAGAGCAAUUGUAAUUGCCUGUUGCCUGGGGGAGAGAAGAAAUUUACUAUAUUAAGCACUAAACAUAAUGUGUAAUUGUGUUUAAAUAUAAACUCUUUUUUCUUUUUUUUAACAGAUCACGCUGAAAGUAAUAGUUAAUGACAAAUAAUGUCUGGACAUCAGGAGUGACUUUAUGAAAUUGUAAGACAUACCUUGACCCACCAAAUCUGUUAGUUUGCAAUGCCUGCACGUGCCUGUUUUUAAUUUCCUAACUCUUUUUGAAUAUCUAAGUUGGGCAUGAACUGAACAACACAUUAUAUCAAUUGCAGAUCCCCCCCAGGGUUACAAAGCAUCGGAGCACUCAGACAUGUCAAGUGAGAUCUAUAGCAGGAAAGACAGUAUUGUGGGGAUCAGGUGGGGUGUUCAGCAUUUGUUCUGUUCCUGUGCCGCUUGUGCAUGCUUGUUUUGCCUUUCAGAAAGAUGGACCUCAGCACAGCUUUGUUUAAGCCAGACUCCAACAUUUAUAUUCUCCAGUAUUUUUACCUUGAUUGAAUCUAGUCAGUGAGCAAGCCACAGGUGACUCAGAGGAUGACUGUAUGGAAAUGGAUGCUGUUGCUGGGAGGAAGUUUUUCUGAAGCAGGGGAAUGGGAGCCUCAGGUAUCUCAGACCAGAACAUGAGCUUACCAGAUCCUGUCAGUCAUAGAUGCUGCAAUAUAACUGCCAUAAAUGCAUAGAAGGGGAGAAAGAAGAGGGUUUAUAGUGCUCCACUGGGGAAAAGGGCUUUUGUCUUUGUUGAUGACCUAAACAUGCCUGCCAAGGAGAAAUAUGGUGCCCAGCCUCCCAUUGAACUGCUGCAGCAAUGGAUUGACCACGGCUACUGGUUUGACAGCUUUACACGGCAGUCUCAGCCUGUGAUCCCUCAGUGCUUUUCCGAGAGCGGCAUGAAAGUUGGCAGGUAAGAAGUCCCAAGAAAAUCAUGCCCUUGUGUUUGGAUUAUCUGUCAGCCCCUGCUCCCUAAGAACUUGUGAACCAGUUUUGACACAGCAAUUGCAGUCUCAGAGAUGUCAAAGCAUCUUAAACAAACAAGGUAUGACGCCAUCGAAGGAAGGAUGGGAGUGGUGCAAGUGUUGUGUGUGGUGGGGUAUUGGGCUGGGAGGCCUAUGGGGGCCAUCCUAUGGAACCUGAAGCCGUAGAGCUGGAUGAAGGGGUGAAAGGACCCUUGGUUUCCCAGUCCAUGAAACAAAUAAUUUUUAUUCUAGUAAAUAUUCAAGACAGCUUUGCAACUACUUGC